This 71-nucleotide transfer RNA is filed under the name Phrynosoma platyrhinos (Desert horned lizard). RNAcentral's name for it is "tRNA-OTHER". Lineage: Eukaryota; Metazoa; Chordata; Lepidosauria; Squamata; Phrynosomatidae. The record is from RNAcentral.
GCCAGCAUGGCACAGUGGUUUGAGUGUUGGACUACAACUCUGGAGACCAAGGUUCGAUUCCCAGCGCAGCA